UCAGUAGGGAAAUGCUUACAGCUGCCUCUAGAAGCAAGUCCGCUCGCUGCAUGGAGAGGGAAACAUGAGCAUGCAGCAGGACUAGCUGUCACCUCCCGCCCGCCUGCCCAGAGAGGGCCAGAGCGUCGGGGAGGCAAGAUGAUCCACCAGCGGUUCCAUCCUACACUUGGGGGCAAUAUGUCCUGAACCCCAUCAGGAUGAAGCCCCAGCUCCAUGAAGCCCCUCUUGAACUGGUCCAUCCUACUGUUCCAGUCUCAGCUCCCUCUGCUCCAGGCCUUGAACUUCACAUUCCAGCCUGGGGACUCCUGGCAGUUCCCUAAAUAUGCAAAGAGCUCAGCUUUCUUUCCUGGUCCUGGUCCUGGUCACUUGGCCCUCUCUGUCUCUCCCUUCCUUCUUCCCAUCUCUCUUCCUUUCUGGCUCAUGUCCCUCGCACAUGCUGUAAACUCUUCCUGGAACAUCUCCCUUCCACCUGUGAAUCUCUUGCCAGCUCACUUCUUUUCUCCCUUUAAGAAUCCACUUCUCAAAAGAAAAUGGCAACUCUGUGAGGUGAUAGAAAUGCUGAUUCGCUUGAUCAUUGUGGCGUCCACAAUGUAUAUAUAAAACAAGUUGUACACAUUACCAUGUAUAAAUUUGUGUUUGUCGAUUAUAUGUCAAGAAAGACAAGGAGGUGUGGAAAGACUGCACCUCUGUCAAGACGCCUUUCUGACCACCCCCCGACCCUGGUUGACACUCCCUGACAUGAGCCCCCGAGUGUUUACCUACGCUAUGUGUAUCAGGGCAUCCCGACCACUUGCUCACUCACCUGUCUCCCCACUGUGAGGUCAGCGGCAGGGCCUUGUUCAGUGUCUUAGUCAUAUCCCCUCCAGCACCCACCAUGACCUCUGGCACUAAGUAGGGGCUCAAUAAGCCAAUCAUUGUGUUGAUGUACCAGUGACAUUGAGGGAAGACCAAGCUCGCCGACCUCUAAGAUCCUGUCCACUCUGAGAGUCUGUGAGUCUGUAUUUCUGCUCCCACAGUUAGUCACGGAGGAAGUUGCCAAAGCAGAUGAUGAGACUUCUGUUUGGGGUUGCCCAGGUCUGCCUGGCCUUUGCAAUUUGUAAUCAGGUCCUUUGAAAGAGAAACUGAACUGAGAGAAAAACACAGUUUGGAUGAGGCAAGAGUUGCAAAAUAAUGAGUUAUGUAAUGGUGAUGGUGGCCUGUGGUAGCAUCUUUGGCCCUGCCCAGAUGAUACAAGACUUUGUAUGUAUACCCUUGAGCAUGGCCAAAAGGACAAUUGUCAAAACCACGGCUUAAGUGUUCAAAAGCCUCUUUUCCCAUAAGAUGUUGCCUCUUGAGGUCAGACUGAAAUCCUGUACCUGUAAUAAUUUCCUCCUUAGGACUGGAUGUACAUGAAAAGAUUGGAGAUAUAUAUGUACCUUUUUUAUAUGCCAUGUAAAUGGUAUAACCCUUGCACUCUUUGGCCAUUAACAGCCAAUUGUCAAUUAGUUUAUUGUGUAUUAGAUCAAACUGUAUUGCCCAGGCCAGCUCCUGAAGAACUGUGAACUAUGAACAUCUCAGCCUAGAAGGAUAAUGUGACCUUCAAUUUGCACACCAUCCAUUGUCUCUUUCAAACUAAGAGCCUCUCUAAGCUAGAUAGGCCAAGGAUUAUUUUUUUAACUUUUAUUUUAGGUUCAGGGGUACAUAUACAGGUUUGUUACAUAGGUAACCUCAUGUCAUGAGGGAUUUUGUAUAGAUUAUUUGGUGACCCAGGUACUAAACCUAGUACCCAUUAGUUGUUUUUUCUGCUCCUCUCCCUCCUCUCACCCUCCACCCUCAGUUAGUUCCCAGUGUGUGUUGUUUCCCCACAUCUAUCCAUGUGUUCUUAUUAUUUAGCUCCCACUUAUAAGUAAGAACAUGCAGUGUUUGGUUUUCUGUUCCCGAUUAGUAUGCUGAGGAUAAUGGCUUCCAAUUCCAUCCAUGUUUCUGCAAAGAACAUGCUCUCAUUCUUUAAUAUGGCUGCAUAGCGUUCCAUGGUGUGUAUGUACCACAUUUUCUUUAUCCAGUCUAUCAUUG
This 2052-nucleotide long non-coding RNA is filed under the name Homo sapiens (human). Its description in RNAcentral is "HSALNT0101330". Lineage: Eukaryota; Metazoa; Chordata; Mammalia; Primates; Hominidae. The record is from RNAcentral.